This is a non-coding RNA of Mycena rebaudengoi, 94 nucleotides long. The record is from the annotation of a GenBank genome assembly. Lineage: Eukaryota; Fungi; Basidiomycota; Agaricomycetes; Agaricales; Mycenaceae.
GCCCUGGUUGAUUAAUGGAGAUCACCCACACCCCUUGAAACGUUUCUCGAGCAGAUUGAUGUGGGAGACGGAGGUUCGAAUCCUCCCCAGGGCA